GACGAACGCUGGCGGCGUGCCUAAUACAUGCAAGUCGAACGAGAGCAACCGGUGCUUGCACUGGUCAAUCUAGUGGCGAACGGGUGAGUAACACGUGGGUAACCUGCCCAUCAGAGGGGGAUAACAUCCGGAAACGGAUGCUAAAACCGCAUAGGUCUUCGAACCGCAUGGUUUGAAGAGGAAAAGAGGCGCAAGCUUCUGCUGAUGGAUGGACCCGCGGUGCAUUAGCUAGUUGGUGAGGUAACGGCUCACCAAGGCCGUGAUGCAUAGCCGACCUGAGAGGGUGAUCGGCCACAUUGGGACUGAGACACGGCCCAAACUCCUACGGGAGGCAGCAGUAGGGAAUCUGCCGCAAUGGACGCAAGUCUGACGGAGCAACGCCGCGUGAGUGAAGAAGGUUUUCGGAUCGUAAAACUCUGUUGUUAGAGAAGAACAAGUGCUAGAGUAACUGUUAGCGCCUUGACGGUAUCUAACCAGAAAGCCACGGCUAACUACGUG
This 498-nucleotide ribosomal RNA is filed under the name uncultured bacterium. RNAcentral's name for it is "partial 16S ribosomal RNA". It matches the Rfam family "Bacterial small subunit ribosomal RNA", at positions 28 to 507 of the family's 1533-position model. The record is from RNAcentral.